UGCGUAGGCGGACUAAUAAGUCAGUGGUGAAAUCUUUCGGCUCAACCGAGAAACUGCCAUUGAUACUGUUAGUCUUGAGUUCGGUUGAGGUAGGCGGAAUGUGUAAUGUAGCGGUGAAAUGCUUAGAUAUUACACAGAACACCAAUUGCGUAGGCAGCUUACUAGACCGACACUGACGCUGAGGCACGAAAGCGUGGGGAGCGAACAGGAUUAGAUACCCUGUUAGUCC
RNAcentral lists this ribosomal RNA (229 nucleotides) under uncultured bacterium. RNAcentral's name for it is "partial 16S ribosomal RNA". It matches the Rfam family "Bacterial small subunit ribosomal RNA", at positions 568 to 796 of the family's 1533-position model. The record is from RNAcentral.